GGUGGGGGCGGUGGUGGAGGUGGUGGUGCAGAUGGGUCAAGCGGAUCUGGAGCCGGAGAUGGUGCUGGCAAAGGAGAAGGUGAGAGUGGCAUAGCAACCGCCCCUGCUGUAGCUCCUUCUGCUGGUGGUGUCAGCUACUCUGAUGCUGGCGGUGCUGGCACUGGCGGUGGUGGCGGCGACGGCGGAAAUGGAGGUGGUAAUGGUGCUGGAGGUGGACAGGCCGCCAGCGAUGACACUUCAGGAGGCAAUGCCAGUGGAAGUGGCAGCGGCAACGGUGGUGGCCAAGGCGGAGGCGUAGCUCAAGGUCCAAGCAUGGGAGUUGGUUCUGGCUCAGGNGGAAAUGGAGGUGGUAAUGGUGCUGGAGGUGGACAGGCCGCCAGCGAUGACACUUCGGGAGGCAAUGCGAGUGGAAGUGGCAGCGGCAACGGUGGUGGCCAAGGCGGAGGCGUAGCUCAAGGUCCAAGCAUGGGAGUUGGUUCUGGCUCAGGCAUUGGGGGCGGACAGACUGGUAGCACUGGUUCCUACGGUCAAGGCUAUGCCACUGGAACUGGUGCUGGAACGGGNUGGUGGCCAAGGCGGAGGCGUAGCUCAAGGUCCAAGCAUGGGAGUUGGUUCUGGCUCAGGCAUUGGGGGCGGACAGACUGGUAGCACUGGUUCCUACGGUCAAGGCUAUGCCACUGGAACUGGUGCUGGAACGGGUGGCGGUGGCGGUGGCAGCAGCAAUGGUGGNNNNNNN
RNAcentral lists this long non-coding RNA (736 nucleotides) under Hordeum vulgare. RNAcentral describes it as "long non-coding RNA (HVUL_LNC003111)". Lineage: Eukaryota; Viridiplantae; Streptophyta; Magnoliopsida; Poales; Poaceae. The record is from RNAcentral.